GCAAACUUGGUCAUUUAGAGGAAGUAAAAGUCGUAACAAGGUAACCGUAGGUGAACCUGCGGUUGGAUCAUUAACAAAUUUAAACAAUUUGUUUAAUGAAAUUGGGUUGAUUAGGUUAGUAAAGGUGGGGGAUAAAACUUGUCCUCCCUUUCUCUAGCUGUGAUCUCCCAUUUCAUUUUUCAACACCUGUGCACUUAGGUGCACUUGUGUCUUGGUAUUAUAUUUUCUAGGAAAUAUGUACCAUGAUUUUACACACCAUUUAAGUCAUAAAAUACCAUUUUAUUUAUUGAAAAUAAAUAAAAAAACAACUUUUGACAACGGAUCUCUUGGCUCUUGCAUCGAUGAAGAACGCAGC
RNAcentral lists this unclassified non-coding RNA (355 nucleotides) under uncultured fungus. RNAcentral's name for it is "partial contains small subunit ribosomal RNA, internal transcribed spacer 1, and 5.8S ribosomal RNA". The stretch from base 1 to 73 matches the Rfam family "Eukaryotic small subunit ribosomal RNA", at positions 1759 to 1831 of the family's 1831-position model. The record is from RNAcentral. Lineage: Eukaryota; Fungi.